CCCACUCCCCGUCCCCUCCUCCUUCCUCCUUCGGUCCUGCCUUACCGCGAACUCCUCCACCUUUGCCGACCCGUCGCCGAGGAUCCGAGCCACCGCAACACGCUAGCCUCUCCAUCCUACCUCCGCCAACUGUCCCGACCCCCUCCAUUAUCAACCGCCGCCGCGCCGCCCAGAUCCGAGCAGCUGCACGCAACUACCUGCACUCCUUCCCUGGCGCUACCGAUCCGGACGAACGACAGCGUCACCCCGCGCCAGAUCAGCGCCAUACCAUGCAGGAUUCGCACCCCAACAUCAUAUCCCGUGAGAUCGGUUUCUCUUCUCGGACAUGGCGGCCUUCCGCACCCCAGGGCAUGGAUCGCCUAUACGCCUAGCGGGGGCAAUGUGUUGGGGUGGUAGGAGCCUAUCGACAGAGGGGAACCACGGCCGCCGACAUCGCCGGAAUGGCUCCGCUUCUCGUACACCAAUGGGACGGGGUAACCAGCAAGUAGAGGGAGCAGAGAGGUGUUGGAGUGCUGGCAACCAGCAAGCGAAAGAGUUGAGGGGGCAACACCGUCAGUGCGCCGCGACCACCUAGCGGGGAGGAACUAGAGCAGGGAAAGCGAUGUCCGCAGUAGUCGAGGAAUUGGGCCGCAAAUCGCCGUCCAACGGACAAAAUUCUCAAACUAUAUGAAGUCAACCUUUUCAGCAUAUACUUCCAGAAAAAGAGCUGGAGCUGGAGAGGCCGUACAGGAGGGGAGGGGAGAAAACUCACGUUCAAAUGUUGGAGGAAUCGUCAGGGAGGUGCUGGGUGGUGGGCCUGCAAUGGAUGGGGUCUCAUGCCGGUUUGGGCGGUUACGAUCGGGGGGCAGGAAAAGAUGCUGCGCCAUGUGCGUUGGGAGGCUAGGACCAUUUCUUUCCUUUUUUCGUAUAACAACUGACAACGGGGGAAUAAUUACUAUAUUUAGGUGUGUGAUCUAGAGUGCUAGUCAGCCAACGUUUGCUGGCUAGACACGUCCCAUUAAAAUAUAUCCAACUUGGGUCUAAUCUUGAAGAUCUCAACGGAACAAAUACAACAGUAAAAGCACAUUGCACUUUGGAGGCUCCA
Long non-coding RNA from Triticum dicoccoides, 1084 nucleotides. RefSeq lists it as uncharacterized. Lineage: Eukaryota; Viridiplantae; Streptophyta; Magnoliopsida; Poales; Poaceae. The transcript has 4 exons. The record is from RefSeq and is a predicted model, not a curated record.